RNAcentral lists this long non-coding RNA (1478 nucleotides) under Homo sapiens (human). RNAcentral's name for it is "non-protein coding lnc-ZNF391-5:6". The record is from RNAcentral. Lineage: Eukaryota; Metazoa; Chordata; Mammalia; Primates; Hominidae.
AACGUGUACUUUCGCCCUGCGAUGGGCCGCACAUUUUCGCCGCCAGUCUUUUGCUCCUGUUUCAGGUAUGCGCGUGAGCCACUGCGCCCGGCCCCAACAUGUUUUUCUAAUGCUUAAGGAAACCCGGAGAUAAUAUUCCCAUGUUUUGCCACUUAGUAAAGCAUUUUAUAUGCCUGUGUCAGCGAGCACAUAGCUGCAAGUGUAGCCCAUGGCCAGUCUGUCACUGUGUCCUUGGCAGAAAAAAAGAAUCCAACAAAUCGGUAGGUUUUUAUAUUUAAGACAUGGCACUUGCAUUUUAUUAUGCUGGCGUGCAUCCCCAGCAUUUGGAUAAGGGGCCAAGGUCAAGUCUCUCAGACUGUUGGCUGACAAACAUUAAACCUGGAAAUCCUAACAGAGUGUAUGAAAAACAAUUACAGUCAAGGGAACAUGAUAGAGAAAGCUUCGGUCAUCUUAGAGAAUGCAUAUAUUGCCAUGAAGAGAACAUUGGUUUAAAAAAAAAUGUUCAAGAGAAUGAAAAGACAAGUCACAGACUGGGAGAAAAUACUUGCAAAGUACAUAUCUGAUAAAGAACUGAUAUCCAAAAUAUAUAAGAACUCUUAAAACUCAACAAUAAGGAGACAAACCGAUUAAAAAAAUAGGCCAAAGACCCUAACAGAUGUCACCAAAGAAGAUAUGCAGAUGGAAAAUAAGCAUAUGAAAAGAUGCUCCACAUAUGUCCUCAGUGAAAUGCAAAUUAAAACAAUGGGAUGCCACUAUACACCUGUCAAAAUGGCCAAAAUCCAGAACCCUGACAAUACCAAAUGCUGACAAGGAUGUGGAGCACAGGAACUUUCAUUCAUUGCUGGUGGGAAUGCAAAAUAUUAGAGUUACGUUGGAGGACAGUUUGACAAUUUCUUACAAAACUAAACAUACUCUUACCAUAUGAUCUAGUAAUUGUGUUCCUUGGUAUUUAUGCAAAGGAGUUGAAAAUGUAUGUCCACACAAAACGUGCCCAAGAAUGUUUAUAGCAGCUUUGUUCAUGAUAGGCAAAACUUGGAAGCAGCCAGAUGUCCUUCAGUACAUGAAUGAAUACAUAAACUAUGGUACAUUCAGACAAUGGAACAUUCAGUAAGGAAAAGAAAUGAGCUAUCAAGCUACCAAAAAGGAAGAACAGAAGAAUAUUAAGUGCGUAUUGGUAUUCUCUUGGCCAAACUCAAGCAGGAGUCAGAGGAUAAAGAAGCCCAUUGAAAAUGUCCAUACUGAUCAGCGCCAGGGCAGGCAACAAGAUGCAGAAUGGGGCCAGGGUACCUGGAUGAUACACAGCACAAGGUCUAAAAUUGAGGAAUCAAGAAAUAGCAAGACGGCCAGAAUAGCCCUGAAAAUCAGUGCAACCUCGGACAUCCAUGGUUAAAAGUCAGACCCUGUUUUGGAAAUGGCUGGGAAGGGCGGCUUUCUGUUCCUUCUCAAGCCAACGAAGUUGCUCUUCUUUCUUUGCUCAG